This 564-nucleotide ribosomal RNA is filed under the name uncultured bacterium. RNAcentral describes it as "bacterial SSU rRNA". It matches the Rfam family "Bacterial small subunit ribosomal RNA", at positions 102 to 694 of the family's 1533-position model. The record is from RNAcentral.
AAGGGAGAGUAAUACAUAGAUAGUUACCCUCGGGCCUGGGAUAGCGGCGGGAAACUGCCGGUAAUACCAGAUAAUGUCUCCGGACCAAGGGUUUACCACCCGAGGAGACGUCUGUGUCCUAUCAGCUAGUUGGCGGUGUAAUAGACCACCAAGGCUAAGACGGGUAUGGGGUGUGAGAGCAUGCCCCCACUCACUGGGACUGAGACACUGCCCAGACACCUACGGGUGGCUGCAGUCGAGAAUCUUCGGCAAUGGGCGAAAGCCUGACCGAGCGAUGCCGCGUGCGGGAUGAAGGCCUUCGGGUUGUAAACCGCUGUCGUAGGGGAGCAAGGGGUAACCUUGAGCGAUCCUAGGAGGAAGGACCGGCUAAGUUCGUGCCAGCAGCCGCGGUAAUACGAACGGUCCAAACGUUAUUCGGAAUCACUGGGCUUAAAGCGUCCGUAGGUGGCUUUGAAAGCAGGGCGUGAAAUCCCACGGCUCAACCGUGGAACUGCGUUCUGAACUACAGAGCUAGAGGGAGAUAGAGGUAAGCGGAACUGAUGGUGGAGCGGUGAAAUGCGUUGA